GAAGAAGAAAAAAAUAUAGAGUGUGAGAAUAGAGAGAGAGAGCAUGUGGGAGGAGAAGAGCAAGGAAAGAAGGGAAGUCUCAUACUCAAGUUUAGGAAGAUCACUACAAAUUCAAGUAAGGGGUUUAACCUUUCAUCUCAGUUUCCGAAUUUUUGUGAUAUGAGUUGGUCGUUUAUUUUCCUUUUUCUUUUAAUGAAUCUUUUGAAUUAAAUUCUUAUUAGACAAUUUUGUGUUUAUAUGCCGAUACAUUCAUAGUUGUGUCUCCAGCUAUGUAUUCGUGAAUGAUUAUUGGUAUUGUUGAAUAUAAAUACAAUACUUUUGAA
Molecule: long non-coding RNA, 323 nt
Filed under: Trifolium pratense (red clover)
Lineage: Eukaryota; Viridiplantae; Streptophyta; Magnoliopsida; Fabales; Fabaceae
Description: long non-coding RNA (TPRA_LNC009525)
Source: RNAcentral